This 158-nucleotide non-coding RNA is filed under the name uncultured Solibacillus sp. The record is from RNAcentral. Lineage: Bacteria; Bacillati; Bacillota; Bacilli; Caryophanales; Caryophanaceae.
AGGGUUUAAAUUUAACAUUUAAUUAAAAGGGAAGAACGGUGAGAAUCCGUCGCUGUCCCGCAACUGUGAUUCGGAGCAACUCACAAUAAACCACUAUUGCCGAAAAUGGGAAGGUGUGAGGAGCGUUGAUGAUAAGCCAGGAGACCUGCCUUUUCAAG